GCCUUCAUGGCGUAGUGGUCAGCACGCUCGUCGCGUAUUCGAGAAGUCCAUGGUUCGAGUCCCGGUGACGGCA
Non-coding RNA from Stegodyphus mimosarum, 73 nucleotides. Lineage: Eukaryota; Metazoa; Arthropoda; Arachnida; Araneae; Eresidae. The record is from Rfam.